Molecule: ribosomal RNA, 414 nt
Filed under: uncultured bacterium
Lineage: Bacteria
Description: bacterial SSU rRNA
Rfam family: Bacterial small subunit ribosomal RNA
Source: RNAcentral
AUUGAACGCUGGCGGCAUGCCUUACACAUGCAAGUCGAACGGCAGCACGGGAGCAAUCCUGGUGGCGAGUGGCGAACGGGUGAGUAAUAUAUCGGAACGUGCCCAGUCGUGGGGGAUAACGUAGCGAAAGCUACGCUAAUACCGCAUACGAUCUAUGGAUGAAAGCGGGGGAUCGCAAGACCUCGCGCGAUUGGAGCGGCCGAUAUCAGAUUAGGUAGUUGGUGAGGUAAAGGCUCACCAAGCCGACGAUCUGUAGCUGGUCUGAGAGGACGACCAGCCACACUGGGACUGAGACACGGCCCAGACUCCUACGGGAGGCAGCAGUGGGGAAUUUUUGGACAAUGGGCGCAAGCCUGAUCCAGCAAUGCCGCGUGCAGGAUGAAGGGCCUUCGGGUUGGUUAAACGUAGUCUUUU